GAUGAACGCUGGCGGCGUGCCUAAUACAUGCAAGUCGAGCGAACGGACGAGAAGCUUGCUUCUCUGAUGUUAGCGGCGGACGGGUGAGUAACACGUGGAUAACCUACCUAUAAGACUGGGAUAACUUCGGGAAACCGGAGCUAAUACCGGAUAAUAUUUUGAACCGCAUGGUUCAAAAGUGAAGGACGGUCUUGCUGUCACUUAUAGGUGGAUCCGCGCUGCAUUAGCUAGUUGGUAAGGUAACGGCUUACCAAGGCAACGAUGCAUAGCCGACCUGAGAGGGUGAUCGGCCACACUGGAACUGAGACACGGUCCAGACUCCUACGGGAGGCAGCAGUAGGGAAUCUUCCGCAAUGGGCGAAAGCCUGACGGAGCAACGCCGAGUGAGUGAUGAAGGUCUUCGGAUCGUAAAACUCUGUUAUUAGGGAAGAACAUAUGUGUAAGUAACUGUGCACAUCUUGACGGUACCUAAUCAGAAAGCCACGGCUAACUACGUG
This 497-nucleotide ribosomal RNA is filed under the name uncultured bacterium. RNAcentral describes it as "partial 16S ribosomal RNA". It matches the Rfam family "Bacterial small subunit ribosomal RNA", at positions 28 to 507 of the family's 1533-position model. The record is from RNAcentral.